Molecule: ribosomal RNA, 428 nt
Filed under: Acinetobacter baumannii
Lineage: Bacteria; Pseudomonadati; Pseudomonadota; Gammaproteobacteria; Moraxellales; Moraxellaceae
Description: bacterial SSU rRNA
Rfam family: Bacterial small subunit ribosomal RNA
Source: RNAcentral
UAACUGAAGAGUUUGAUCAUGGCUCAGAUUGAACGCUGGCGGCAGGCUUAACACAUGCAAGUCGAGCGGGGGAAGGUAGCUUGCUACUGGACCUAGCGGCGGACGGGUGAGUAAUGCUUAGGAAUCUGCCUAUUAGUGGGGGACAACAUCUCGAAAGGGAUGCUAAUACCGCAUACGUCCUACGGGAGAAAGCAGGGGAUCUUCGGACCUUGCGCUAAUAGAUGAGCCUAAGUCGGAUUAGCUAGUUGGUGGGGUAAAGGCCUACCAAGGCGACGAUCUGUAGCGGGUCUGAGAGGAUGAUCCGCCACACUGGGACUGAGACACGGCCCAGACUCCUACGGGAGGCAGCAGUGGGGAAUAUUGGACAAUGGGGGGAACCCUGAUCCAGCCAUGCCGCGUGUGUGAAGAAGGCCUUAUGGUUGUAAAGC